This 524-nucleotide ribosomal RNA is filed under the name uncultured bacterium. RNAcentral's name for it is "bacterial SSU rRNA". It matches the Rfam family "Bacterial small subunit ribosomal RNA", at positions 1 to 511 of the family's 1533-position model. The record is from RNAcentral.
GGCCGCGUCGACAUCCUGGCUCAGGACGAACGCUGGCGGCGUGCCUAAUACGUGCAAGUAGAACGCUGAAGAGAGGAGCUUGCUCUUCUUGGAUGAGUUGCGAACGGGCGAGUAACGCGUAGGUAACCUGCCUUGUAGCGGGGGAUAACUAUUGGAAACGAUAGCUAAUACCGCAUAACAAUGGAUGACACAUGUCAUUUAUUUGAAAGGGGCAAUUGCUCCACUACAAGAUGGACCUGCGUUGUAUUAGCUAGUAGGUGAGGUAACGGCUCACCUAGGCGACGAUACAUAGCCGACCUGAGAGGGUGAUCGGCCACACUGGGACUGAGACACGGCCCAGACUCCUACGGGAGGCAGCAGUAGGGAAUCUUCGGCAAUGGGGGCAACCCUGACCGAGCAACGCCGCGUGAGUGAAGAAGGUUUUCGGAUCGUAAAGCUCUGUUGUAAGUCAAGAACGAGUGUGAGAGUGGAAAGUUCACACUGUGACGGUAGCUUACCAGAAAGGACGGCUAACUACGUGCCAG